GCCCUGGUGGCACAGUGGUUGAAUGCCUGUCUUGCAACCACAAGGUUGCGAGUUCAAUACUAGCCAGGGCU
Molecule: non-coding RNA, 71 nt
Organism: Phrynosoma platyrhinos (Desert horned lizard)
Lineage: Eukaryota; Metazoa; Chordata; Lepidosauria; Squamata; Phrynosomatidae
Source: the annotation of a GenBank genome assembly